This 497-nucleotide ribosomal RNA is filed under the name uncultured bacterium. Its description in RNAcentral is "partial 16S ribosomal RNA". It matches the Rfam family "Bacterial small subunit ribosomal RNA", at positions 28 to 507 of the family's 1533-position model. The record is from RNAcentral.
GAUGAACGCUGGCGGCGUGCCUAAUACAUGCAAGUCGAGCGAACAGACGAGGAGCUUGCUCCUCUGACGUUAGCGGCGGACGGGGGAGUAACACGUGGAUAACCUACCUAUAAGACUGGGAUAACGUCGGGAAACCGGAGCUAAUACCGGAUAAUAUAUUGAACCGCAUGGUUCAAUAGUGAAAGACGGUUUUGCUGUCACUUAUAGAUGGAUCCGCGCCGCAUUAGCUAGUUGGUAAGGUAACGGCUUACCAAGGCGACGAUGCGUAGCCGACCGGAGAGGGGGAACGGCCACUCUGGACCUGAGGCACGGUCCAGACUCCGACGGGAGGCGGCAGUAGGGAAUCUUCCGCAAUGGGCGAAAGCCUGCCGGAGCAACGCCGCGGGAGUGAUGAAGGUCUUCGGAUCGUAAAACUCUGUUAUUAGGGAAGAACAAAUGUGUAAGUAACUAUGCACGUCUUGACGGUACCUAAUCAGAAAGCCACGGCUAACUACGUG